This 1080-nucleotide long non-coding RNA is filed under the name Oryctolagus cuniculus (rabbit). Its description in RNAcentral is "lncRNA (ENSOCUG00000029873.1)". Lineage: Eukaryota; Metazoa; Chordata; Mammalia; Lagomorpha; Leporidae. The record is from RNAcentral.
AUGGGCACCUGGACCCCUAACCCGAGGCCCCGGGCACAGGGCCCCUCCCAACCUGGUCCAUGGACAGCGCCUGGGACUGCUGUGCUGAGGAGGCCAUCCUGGCGGUGGUGUGAACUGGGCCAGGCCGAGGAGGGAUCGAAGCCAGACGCUGAGGGAGGACAGCCCCUUCUCCCACCCAGUGUGGACUUCCAACUUUGCAGCACCCGUCUCUUGCAUCUCAAGUGCAGGCUCCUCGUUCCCAGGCCCCCAAGGCUGCGCUCCUUGGCCGCUGGCCAGUGCAGGGGGCCCAGCAGGGCUCAGAACCCAUCGUUGGGAUGCGGAAACCUGCGCCCACCCGCCUCCUCUUCGGCCGGGAAAGUUUGUUGUUUUGUGAGGUCUGCGAGAGCUGGGAGGUGGACUCUGCCGGGGCCUGUGAGUGGCCGGAGGAGGCAGGAGGCAAACGCCGCACUGGACUUAGCCCCGGGCAGCAGAUGGGAAAGCCCGGAGCCCCUGAUUCCCCGGGGACCUGACUCCAGGCGCGAUGCUGAUGGCCGAGCGGCCUUGGGGUCCAGGGCCGAGCAGCAAAGCAGCGAGCUGCCGUCACAGGGCCGUGGAGAGGAUGGAGCGACGGAGCACACACUUGUCACUUGGUUGGUGUCAGGUGCCGUUAUUUGUGUUGCCAUGGUAACGGCAGGUGCCCUCCUGAGGACUCUGACAUCUGUGUUGGCUUCACCUGCAGUCUCUGAGCGCCCCCAGGGCGUGGCGGUACGGGGUGGGCACAGGCAGACCAGCUGGCCUGGCCCCUGCUCCAGGGGGCUCCUCCUGGCUCUGUGCCCUUGGCUUUCUCGUGCUGAGCUGGUGACAGGCAUCAGGCCCCAGACUGUGCUGGGAUGGGUGGAGGGAGCAUGGAGGCACACACAGAGGCAGCCACGCAUCAGCCCAGCCAGGCCUACUCCCAAGGCCACCAGAGGGGACCUGCUCCUGCGGCCCUGGCACGGGCAUCUUCACGGCUGUUGCCAGGUUCUGCUGCCUCUGUCGGGCACUGACGAGGUGCCAACCCAGCUCAUUCAUUUUUUUAAGAUAUAUUAUUUGUCUGCUUGA